AAGGUGAAUACAUCCUCUCCCCAGAAUGGGGAACUGAACUACAAACCAGAAUCUGUAGUUUUCUCUGAGUGCAGUUACAGUACUGCCAGUACACAAACCCCACCUGAGUUUGCGCCCUCAGAAGACGAACCACAGCCCAUGUACCAGUCAGAUUAUAUUGUGGGAAAUGAUGUGCAGAUGUUCCUGUCCCCUGGCCGCUCAGGAGGAAGCAUGUGUCGACCUGGUCAGUCAUACUACACUAGAGGAUCCGUGAGAGGAGGAUCCUACAUUCCCCAGGCUCAUCUCAGGGAUUCUGGUCCUGUCCGCUAUGCUGUAAGGGU
Molecule: long non-coding RNA, 320 nt
Organism: Hippoglossus stenolepis (Pacific halibut)
Lineage: Eukaryota; Metazoa; Chordata; Actinopteri; Pleuronectiformes; Pleuronectidae
Exons: 3
Source: RefSeq, a predicted model, not a curated record